RNAcentral lists this unclassified non-coding RNA (378 nucleotides) under uncultured Chlamydiales bacterium. Its description in RNAcentral is "contains 16S-23S intergenic spacer region". The record is from RNAcentral. Lineage: Bacteria; Pseudomonadati; Chlamydiota; Chlamydiia; Chlamydiales.
UCCUAGUUAACCUAGGCAGUCUCACUAGAGUUCCCACCAUUACGUGCUGGCAACUAGUGACAAGGGUUGCGCUCGUUGCUGGACUUAACCAAACACCUCACGGCACGAGCUGACGACAGCCAUGCAGCACCUGUGCAGAAGCCCCGAAGGGAAAUACCGUUUCUGGUAUCGUCCUCUGCAUGUCAAGCCUGGGUAAGGUUCUUCGCGUUGCAUCGAAUUAAACCACAUGCUCCACUGCUUGUGCGGGUCCCCGUCAAUUCUUUUGAGUUUCACCCUUGCGAGCGUACUCCCCAGGCGGUAUACUUAUCGCGUUAGCUACGGCACAGUCAGGGUUGAGUCCGACUACACCUAGUAUACAUCGUUUAAGGCAAGGACUAC